RNAcentral lists this ribosomal RNA (459 nucleotides) under uncultured bacterium. RNAcentral describes it as "partial 16S ribosomal RNA". It matches the Rfam family "Bacterial small subunit ribosomal RNA", at positions 338 to 795 of the family's 1533-position model. The record is from RNAcentral.
CCUACGGGAGGCAGCAGUGAGGAAUAUUGGUCAAUGGGCGCGAGCCUGAACCAGCCAAGUCGCGUGAGGGAAGACGGUCCUAUGGAUUGUAAACCUCUUUUGUCUGGGCGCAAAAGACGCCUCGCGUGGCGUUCCGAGAGUACCCGAAGAAAAAGCAUCGGCUAACUCCGUGCCAGCAGCCGCGGUAAUACGUAGGGAGCGAGCGUUAUCCGGAAUUAUUGGGCGUAAAGGGUGCGUAGAUGGCAUAGUAAGUCUUUUGUAAAAAUGCUGGGCUCAACCCAGUAGGGCAAAAGAUACUGAAAAGCUAGAGUAUGACAGAGGAAAGUGGAACUACAUGUGUAGCGGUAAAAUGCGUAAAUAUAUGUAAGAACACCAGUGGCGAAGGCGGCUUGCUGGGUCGAUACUGACAUUGAGGCACGAAAGCGUGGGGAGCAAACAGGAUUAGAUACCCCAGUAGUC